This 253-nucleotide ribosomal RNA is filed under the name uncultured bacterium. Its description in RNAcentral is "partial 16S ribosomal RNA". It matches the Rfam family "Bacterial small subunit ribosomal RNA", at positions 524 to 776 of the family's 1533-position model. The record is from RNAcentral.
UACGUAGGGCGCAAGCGUUAUCCGGAAUUAUUGGGCGUAAAGAGCUCGUAGGCGGUUUGUCGCGUCUGCCGUGAAAGUCCGGGGCUCAACUCCGGAUCUGCGGUGGGUACGGGCAGACUAGAGUGAUGUAGGGGAGAUUGGAAUUCCUGGUGUAGCGGUGGAAUGCGCAGAUAUCAGGAGGAACACCAAUGGCGAAGGCAGAUCUCUGGGCCGUAACUGACGCUGAGGAGCGAAAGCAUGGGGAGCGAACAGG